GACGAACGCUGGCGGCGUGCUUAACACAUGCAAGUCGAGCGGUAAGGCCCUUUCGGGGGUACGACGAGCGGCGAACGGGUGAGUAACACGUGGGUGACCUGCCCUCAGCUCUGGGAUAAGCCUGGGAAACUGGGUCUAAUACUGGAUAUGACUCCACGGUGCAUGUCGUGGGGUGGAAAGCCUUGUGCGGCUGAGGAUGGGCCCGCGGCCUAUCAGCUUGUUGGUGGGGGGAUGGCC
Molecule: ribosomal RNA, 237 nt
Filed under: uncultured bacterium
Lineage: Bacteria
Description: partial 16S ribosomal RNA
Rfam family: Bacterial small subunit ribosomal RNA
Source: RNAcentral